GAUGAACGCUGGCGGCGUGCCUAAUACAUGCAAGUCGAGCGAACAGAUGAGGAGCUUGCUCCUCUGACGUUAGCGGCGGACGGGUGAGUAACACGUGGAUAACCUACCUAUAAGACUGGGAUAACUUCGGGAAACCGGAGCUAAUACCGGAUAAUAUAUUGAACCGCAUGGUUCAAUAGUGAAAGACGGUUUUGCUGUCACUUAUAGAUGGAUCCGCGCCGCAUUAGCUAGUUGGUAAGGUAACGGCUUACCAAGGCAACGAUGCGUAGCCGACCUGAGAGGGUGAGUCGGCCCAAUGGGACUGAGACCCGGGCCCGACUCCCACGGGAGGGAGCAGUGGGGAAUAUUUGACAAAGGGCGGAAACCUUAACGAGCAAACCCGCGUGGGGUAAGAAGGGUUUCCGGUUCGAAAACCUUUUUAGUUGGGAGAAAACAAAUUUAUAAAAAACCUUGCAGGUUUGACGGGAACCAAAGAAAAAACCCCGGCCAAAUUCCUG
Molecule: ribosomal RNA, 497 nt
Filed under: uncultured bacterium
Lineage: Bacteria
Description: partial 16S ribosomal RNA
Rfam family: Bacterial small subunit ribosomal RNA
Source: RNAcentral